GAUGAACGCUGGCGGCGUGCCUAAUACAUGCAAGUCGAGCGAACAGACGAGGAGCUUGCUCCUCUGACGUUAGCGGCGGACGGGUGAGUAACACGUGGAUAACCUACCUAUAAGACUGGGAUAACUUCGGGAAACCGGAGCUAAUACCGGAUAAUAUAUUGAACCGCAUGGUUCAAUAGUGAAAGACGGUUUUGCUGUCACUUAUAGAUGGAUCCGCGCCGCAUUAGCUAGUUGGUAAGGUAACGGCUUACCAAGGCAACGAUGCGUAGCCGACCUGAGAGGGUGAUCGGCCACACUGGAACUGAGACACGGUCCAGACUCCGACGGGAGGCAGCAGUAGGGAAUCGUCCGCAAUGGGCGAAAGCCUGACGGAGCAACGCCGCGUGAGUGAUGAAGGUCUUCGGAUCGUAAAACUCUGUUAUUAGGGAAGAACAAAUGUGUAAGUAACUAUGCACGUCUUGACGGUACCUAAUCAGAAAGCCACGGCUAACUACGUG
This 497-nucleotide ribosomal RNA is filed under the name uncultured bacterium. RNAcentral's name for it is "partial 16S ribosomal RNA". It matches the Rfam family "Bacterial small subunit ribosomal RNA", at positions 28 to 507 of the family's 1533-position model. The record is from RNAcentral.